RNAcentral lists this ribosomal RNA (514 nucleotides) under Hymenoscyphus aurantiacus. RNAcentral describes it as "eukaryotic LSU rRNA". The stretch from base 173 to 326 matches the Rfam family "5.8S ribosomal RNA". The record is from RNAcentral. Lineage: Eukaryota; Fungi; Ascomycota; Leotiomycetes; Helotiales; Helotiaceae.
AAGGAUCAUUAUCGUGUUCCUGCCCUCUGGGUAGAAACCCCACCCUGUGUUUAAACCCUAUCUUUGUUUCCCUGGCGAGCCGCCUCAGGGCGCUGGCUCCGGCCGGAUCGUGCUCGUCGGGGACAUUCAAACCCUGUUUACAAGUCUGUCCGAGUACUAUAUCAAUAGUUAAAACUUUCAACAACGGAUCUCUUGGCUCUGGCAUCGAUGAAGAACGCAGCGAAAUGCGAUAAGUAAUGUGAAUUGCAGAAUUUAGUGAAUCAUCGAAUCUUUGAACGCACAUUGCGCCCCUUGGUAUUCCGAGGGGCAUGCCUGUCCGAGCGUCAUUACAACCCCUCCAGCUUGCUGGGUCUUGGGCCUCGCCUUCGGGCGGGCCUUAAAAUCAGUGGCGGCUCUGUCGGACCCUGAGCGUAGUAACUUCUCUCGCUAUAGGGCUUCGGUAGGUGCUGGCCAGCAACCCCCCCUCUUUCUAAUGGUUGACCUCGGAUCAGGUAGGGAUACCCGCUGAACUUAA